RNAcentral lists this microRNA precursor (65 nucleotides) under Marmota monax (woodchuck). Lineage: Eukaryota; Metazoa; Chordata; Mammalia; Rodentia; Sciuridae. The record is from RNAcentral.
UCUUAUACAUGAGCAAAGAAAGUGGCUUCUUGAGACAGAGUCUUUACCUGAUGAAGAUAUGUGAA